UAUACUGACUCCAAAUAUGCCUUUACGGUGUU
RNAcentral lists this non-coding RNA (32 nucleotides) under Mus musculus (house mouse). RNAcentral also lists the same sequence under 1 other name. The record is from RNAcentral. Lineage: Eukaryota; Metazoa; Chordata; Mammalia; Rodentia; Muridae.